Molecule: ribosomal RNA, 253 nt
Filed under: uncultured bacterium
Lineage: Bacteria
Description: partial 16S ribosomal RNA
Rfam family: Bacterial small subunit ribosomal RNA
Source: RNAcentral
UACGAAGGUGGCAAGCGUUAUUCGGAUUUACUGGGCGUAAAGGGUGCGUAGGCGGCUUUGCGUGUCGGAUGUGAAAUCCCACGGAUCAUUCGUGGAACUGCAUUCGAAACUGCAAGGCUAGAGUACAGGAGAGGAGAGCGGAAUUCUUGGUGUAGCGGUGAAAUGCGUUGAUAUCAAGAGGAACGCCGGUGACGAAGGUGGCUCUCUGGACUGUUACUGACGCUGAGGCACGAAAGCUAGGGGAGCAAACAGG